This 74-nucleotide transfer RNA is filed under the name Actinomadura sp. DC4. RNAcentral describes it as "tRNA-Leu". It matches the Rfam family "tRNA". Rfam says of the family: Transfer RNA (tRNA) molecules are approximately 80 nucleotides in length. Lineage: Bacteria; Bacillati; Actinomycetota; Actinomycetes; Streptosporangiales; Thermomonosporaceae. The record is from RNAcentral.
GCCGCUCUGGCCCAACUGGCAGAGGCGUCCGGUUCAGGACCGGGAGGUUCAGGGUUCGAAUCCCUGGGGCGGCA